AGAGUUUGAUCCUGGCUCAGGACGAACGCUGGCGGCGUGCCUAAUACAUGCAAGUAGAACGCUGAAGAGAGGAGCUUGCUCUUCUUGGAUGAGUUGCGAACGGGUGAGUAACGCGUAGGUAACCUGCCUUGUAGCGGGGGAUAACUAUUGGAAACGAUAGCUAAUACCGCAUAACAAUGGAUGACACAUGUCAUUUAUUUGAAAGGGGCAAUUGUUCCACUACAAGAUGGACCUGCGUUGUAUUAGCUAGUAGGUGAGGUAAUGGCUCACCUAGGCGACGAUACAUAGCCGACCUGAGAGGGUGAUCGGCCACACUGGGACUGAGACACGGCCCAGACUCCUACGGGAGGCAGCAGUAGGGAAUCUUCGGCAAUGGGGGCAACCCUGACCGAGCAACGCCGCGUGAGUGAAGAAGGUUUUCGGAUCGUAAAGCUCUGUUGUAAGUCAAGAACGGGUGUGAGAGUGGAAAGUUCACACUGUGACGGUAGCUUACCAGAAAGGGACGGCUAACUACGUGCCAGCAGCCGCGGUAAUACGUAGGUCCCGAGCGUUGUCCGGAUUUAUUGGGCGUAAAGCGAGCGCAGGCGGUUUGAUAAGUCUGAAGUUAAAGGCUGUGGCUCAACCAUAGUUCGCUUUGGAAACUGUCAAACUUGAGUGCAGAAGGGGAGAGUGGAAUUCCAUGUGUAGCGGUGAAAUGCGUAGAUAUAUGGAGGAACACCGGUGGCGAAAGCGGCUCUCUGGUCUGUAACUGACGCUGAGGCUCGAAAGCGUGGGGAGCGAACAGGAUUAGAUACCCUGGUAGUCCACGCCGUAAACGAUGAGUGCUAGGUGUUGGAUCCUUUCCGGGAUUCAGUGCCGCAGCUAACGCAUUAAGCACUCCGCCUGGGGAGUACGACCGCAAGGUUGAAACUCAAAGGAAUUGACGGGGGCCCGCACAAGCGGUGGAGCAUGUGGUUUAAUUCGAAGCAACGCGAAGAACCUUACCAGGUCUUGACAUCCCGAUGCUAUUUCUAGAGAUAGAAAGUUACUUCGGUACAUCGGUGACAGGUGGUGCAUGGUUGUCGUCAGCUCGUGUCGUGAGAUGUUGGGUUAAGUCCCGCAACGAGCGCAACCCCUAUUGUUAGUUGCCAUCAUUCAGUUGGGCACUCUAGCGAGACUGCCGGUAAUAAACCGGAGGAAGGUGGGGAUGACGUCAAAUCAUCAUGCCCCUUAUGACCUGGGCUACACACGUGCUACAAUGGUUGGUACAACGAGUUGCGAGUCGGUGACGGCGAGCUAAUCUCUUAAAGCCAAUCUCAGUUCGGAUUGUAGGCUGCAACUCGCCUACAUGAAGUCGGAAUCGCUAGUAAUCGCGGAUCAGCACGCCGCGGUGAAUACGUUCCCGGGCCUUGUACACACCGCCCGUCACACCACGAGAGUUUGUAACACCCGAAGUCGGUGAGGUAACCUUUUGGAGCCAGCCGCCUAAGGUGGGACAGAUGAUUGGGGUGAAGUCGUAACAAGGUA
This 1506-nucleotide ribosomal RNA is filed under the name metagenome. Its description in RNAcentral is "bacterial SSU rRNA". It matches the Rfam family "Bacterial small subunit ribosomal RNA". The record is from RNAcentral.